AGGCCUGUAACGUAAGACAACAUCUUCAAACUUGAUUGCUCCUGAUGAAGGCCAUCUAGGAGGGGGACGAUUGCUCUCAAUAACAAGUGGAGCCUCUGAUGGCAACUCUAUAUAUGUGCCAACCCGUUCCACAGAAUUUAAGCUAUUCUCAGCCAAACUAGCAAGUCUCAGUACAGCAGUCAAUAAACUAGUGAUGUUUAAAGCAUAACUGAGAAGUAGACCCAUUGUAGAUGCAAAAGCCUGCUGGUUAUCUGCCCUCCCAUUCUGCAUAACUGCAAAGGUCGCUGUAAACCAAAUCAUAAUGCCCCCUAAUGUUUCCAACCGGAUU
This 328-nucleotide long non-coding RNA is filed under the name Populus tremula. Its description in RNAcentral is "long non-coding RNA (PTRE_LNC000601)". The record is from RNAcentral. Lineage: Eukaryota; Viridiplantae; Streptophyta; Magnoliopsida; Malpighiales; Salicaceae.